CUGAGCCACAGUAGUUCACAGAAUUCAAGUUUCAAAAAGAACUGCCACAACCACCUCGGCCAUCAGACCAUCAGCUGCCAUCUAUCACACAACUCGCACAAGGGAAGAGCCUUUUACAAGGAAGCCUUCAGCAAAAGAUGUGCUUCAGGGAAAAGUUUGCUGUCACUGCAAAAAAAUAUCUAAAAGAAGAACAUUGCCUGGGACCAGUAUAAAGCCUGGAAACACGACUGCAACCAUCUCUGUUUGGAAGCUUUUCAUAUGCUUGUAUGGAUAUGAGAGAAGACACCAGUAUUCAGAUCUUUUUUCCUUUCAUGUUUCAGUCUGACCUUUUCAUCCUAUGCUGAUCAAUUGUAACAGCUGAACAUACUUCCAUCACUACAACAGUUAGAAUUGGUUUGCAGCAACAAUACCUGCUUCAAUAAAUUUCUGAAAGCA
Molecule: long non-coding RNA, 435 nt
Filed under: Phasianus colchicus (ring-necked pheasant)
Lineage: Eukaryota; Metazoa; Chordata; Aves; Galliformes; Phasianidae
Description: lncRNA (ENSPCLG00000017760.1)
Source: RNAcentral